UACCAGCUCUCCGAGUGGUGUGGAUGUUCAUUGGGCCUAAAGCAUCCGUAGCUGGCUGGGCAAGUCCCCUGUUAAAUCCACCGAUUUAAUCGUUGGUGUGCGGGGGAUACUGUUCGGCUAGGGGACGGGAGAGGCCGACGGUAUUUUCGGGGUAGGGGUGAAAUCCUAUAAUCCCGGGAAGACCACCAGUGGCGAAGGCUGUCGGCUAGAACGCGCCCGACGGUGAGGGAUGAAAGCUGGGGGAGCGAACCGGAUUAGAUACCCGGGUAGUCCCAGCUGUAAACGAUGCAGGCUAGGUGUUUGGGCGGCCACGUGCCGCUCUAGGUGCCGCAGAGAAGUCGUUAAGCCUGCCGCCUGGGGAGUACGGCCGCAAGGCUGAAACUUAAAGGAAUUGGCGGGGGAGCACCACAAGGGGUGAAGCUUGCGGUUU
Molecule: ribosomal RNA, 430 nt
Filed under: uncultured archaeon
Lineage: Archaea
Description: bacterial SSU rRNA
Rfam family: Archaeal small subunit ribosomal RNA
Source: RNAcentral